CUGAAUAACUUUGCUGAUCACAUGGUCCUUGUACCGGUGACAUAUCUUUCAAGUGUCUGCCCUAUCAACUUUCGAUGGUAGUUUAUGCGCCUACCAUGGUUGUAACGGGUAACGGAGAAUAAGGGUUCGACUCCGGAGAGGGAGCCUGAGAAAUGGCUACCACAUCCAAGGAAGGCAGCAGGCGCGCAAAUUACCCACUCUCAGCUCGAGGAGGUAGUGACGAAAAAUAACGAGAUGGUUCUCUAUGAGGCCCGUCAUCGGAAUGGGUACAAUUUAAACCCUUUAACGAGGAUCUAUUGGAGGGCAAGUCUGGUGCCAGCAGCCGCGGUAAUUCCAGCUCCAAUAGCAUAUACCAAUUCUGUUGCUGUUAAAAA
RNAcentral lists this ribosomal RNA (374 nucleotides) under Nematoda sp. RNAcentral describes it as "SSU rRNA". It matches the Rfam family "Eukaryotic small subunit ribosomal RNA", at positions 252 to 625 of the family's 1831-position model. Lineage: Eukaryota; Metazoa; Nematoda. The record is from RNAcentral.